Molecule: ribosomal RNA, 301 nt
Filed under: uncultured bacterium
Lineage: Bacteria
Description: partial 16S ribosomal RNA
Rfam family: Bacterial small subunit ribosomal RNA
Source: RNAcentral
CAGUCGCCGCGGUAAUACGUAGGUGGCAAGCGUUGUCCGGAAUUAUUGGGCGUAAAGGGCUCGCAGGCGGUUUCUUAAGUCUGAUGUGAAAGCCCCCGGCUCAACCGGGGAGGGUCAUUGGAAACUGGGAAACUUGAGUGCAGAAGAGGAGAGUGGAAUUCCACGUGUAGCGGUGAAAUGCGUAGGGAUGUGGAGGAACACCAGUGGCGAAGGCGGCUCUCUGGUCUGUAACUGACGCUGAGGAGCGAAAGCGUGGGGAGCGAGCAGGAUUAGAGACCCCAGUAGUCCCUGUCUCUUAUAC